This 69-nucleotide transfer RNA is filed under the name Neohydatothrips samayunkur. RNAcentral's name for it is "tRNA-Gln". Lineage: Eukaryota; Metazoa; Arthropoda; Insecta; Thysanoptera; Thripidae. The record is from RNAcentral.
UUUAUUUUAGUAUAUAAGUACAUAAAUUUUUGAAAUUUAUAGAAAUAAGUUAAAAUCUAUUAAAUAAAA